This 709-nucleotide ribosomal RNA is filed under the name uncultured bacterium. RNAcentral describes it as "bacterial SSU rRNA". It matches the Rfam family "Bacterial small subunit ribosomal RNA", at positions 605 to 1315 of the family's 1533-position model. The record is from RNAcentral.
AGGUAACCUGUCGACUGCACUUGGUGAUGCGCGACUUUUAUCACUUCGAGGUAAAUAGAAUUGCCGUCGUAGGCGAGAGCUGUAGAUAUCUUGAGAAUACCCGGGGGCGACAGGCGGGUUCUCAUCCAUUAUUACGAUCAAGGUUGCAAAGUGCCGGGGCGCAAACAAGAAGUAGCAACCUGGUAGUCCGCAACCGCAACCGAUGUACACUAGUGGUAGGGGCAUGAGUCUCUGUGCCAAAGCUAACGUGAUAAGUGUACCGCCUGGGGAAGUAUGCUCGCAAGGGUGAAUAUCACAAGGAACUGACGGGGGGCCGCACAAGCGGUCGAGCAUGUCGUUUCAAUCGAUGGUACGCGAGGGACAUUUCCCUGGUUUUCCCUCCAAGUGGAAUGGGAUACAGAUACAUCUCCGUACCAAUCCGUGGCUUGAAAGUGCUGCACCGCCGGUGUUAGCGCCCCCCCUGAAGUUCUUGGGUAAUUCCCCCAACGAGCGCAACCCCCAGGGCCGCCAAUUAACACGUUAAGAUGAGGAGUCUGGCGGAACUCCCGGUGACAAACAGGAGGAAGGUGGGGAUGACGUCAAGUCAUCAUGGCCCCUAUGUCCAGGGCUACACACGUGCUACAAUGGUUGCUACAAAGUGAUGCGAAACCGCGAGGUCAAGCGAAGCGCAAAAAAGCAACCGUAGUUCGGAUUGGAGUCUGAAACCCGA